GCCCGGGUGGUGGAAUCGGCAGACACAGGGGACUUAAAAUCCCCAGGCCCGGAAGGGCCGUGCGGGUUCGAGUCCCGCCCCGGGCA
This 86-nucleotide transfer RNA is filed under the name Gemmatimonadota bacterium. RNAcentral's name for it is "Gemmatimonadetes bacterium (sediment metagenome) tRNA-Leu". It matches the Rfam family "tRNA". From Rfam's summary of the family: Transfer RNA (tRNA) molecules are approximately 80 nucleotides in length. Their secondary structure includes four short double-helical elements and three loops (D, anti-codon, and T loops). Lineage: Bacteria; Pseudomonadati; Gemmatimonadota. The record is from RNAcentral.